This 253-nucleotide ribosomal RNA is filed under the name uncultured bacterium. Its description in RNAcentral is "partial 16S ribosomal RNA". It matches the Rfam family "Bacterial small subunit ribosomal RNA", at positions 524 to 776 of the family's 1533-position model. The record is from RNAcentral.
UACGUAGGUGGCAAGCGUUGUCCGGAUUUAUUGGGUUUAAAGGGUGCGUAGGCGGUCUUUUAAGUCAGUGGUGAAAUACGGCAGCUCAACUGUCGAGGUGCCAUUGAUACUGGGAGACUUGAGUACUGAUGAGGUAGGCGGAAUGGACGGUGUAGCGGUGAAAUGCUUAGAUAUCGUCCAGAACACCGAUAGCGAAGGCAGCUUACUAAGGAGUAACUGACGCUGAUGCACGAAAGCGUGGGGAUCGAACAGG